Molecule: ribosomal RNA, 429 nt
Filed under: Verrucomicrobiota bacterium
Lineage: Bacteria; Pseudomonadati; Verrucomicrobiota
Description: Verrucomicrobia bacterium partial 16S ribosomal RNA
Rfam family: Bacterial small subunit ribosomal RNA
Source: RNAcentral
UAGGGAAUCUUCCGCAAUGGACGAAAGUCUGACGGAGCAACGCCGCGUGAGUGAAGAAGGAUUUCGGUUCGUAAAACUCUGUUGUUAGGGAAGAAAAAAUGUAUAGUAACUAUAUACAAAAGAGACGGUACCUAACCAGAAAGCCACGGCUAACUACGUGCCAGCAGCCGCGGUAAUACGUAGGUGGCAAGCGUUGUCCGGAAUUAUUGGGCGUAAAGCGCGCGCAGGUGGUUUAGAAAGUCGGAUGUGAAAGCCCACGGCUCAACCGUGGAGGGUCAUUGGAAACUAAUAAACUUGAGUGCAGGAGAGAAAAGUGGAAUUCCUAGUGUAGCGGUGAAAUGCGUAGAGAUUAGGAGGAACACCGGUGGCGAAAGCGGCUUUUUGGCCUGCAACUGACACUGAGGCGCGAAAGAGUGGGGAGCAAACAGG